RNAcentral lists this long non-coding RNA (558 nucleotides) under Lactuca sativa (garden lettuce). Its description in RNAcentral is "long non-coding RNA (LSAT_LNC003478)". The record is from RNAcentral. Lineage: Eukaryota; Viridiplantae; Streptophyta; Magnoliopsida; Asterales; Asteraceae.
AUACCACGCUCUCGCUACUUACACUCCGAAAGGCUCGUUGAAAACAACCAAGGAUCCGAUUAGCACACUGGCGACGAACGGCGCCGGAAAGUACGAUCUGACCGUUGAGACCGCCGGAGAUUCCGUUACACUUGAUUCUGGAUUUUCCACUUCGCGUGUUGCUAGCACGGUUCUCGAUUCGACGCCUCUCUGUAUUUUCACCGUCGACAAUGUACUUCUCCCCACUGAAUUGUUUGGUAAAUCUCCAUCUCCAGCUCCAUCUCUUUCACCGGAAACUUCUCCGGCGUCGUCUCCUGCACCUGCUGCUCUAUCUCCGGAACCUGCAGCAGCACCUUCCCCAUUCCUUUCUCCUCCCGCUCCUCCGACUUCAUCUCCCACCGCCGGUCCUGCUCCGUCAGAUGGCCCCACCGCCGACUCCCAAAAUAGCAAUGCUAGCAACGCCGUUGACAGCGUCAAAGCUCCGUCGGUUGUCCAUGCCACAUUUACGCUGUUGGUCUUGAUUAUGUCAUACGUUAUGCUUUGAAUCUGAUUUUCGAUUGUUUGCGCUCUUUUUGUUUA